CCUACGGGUGGCUGCAGUGGGGAAUAUUGCACAAUGGGGGAAACCCUGAUGCAGCGACGCCGCGUGAGUGAAGAAGUAUUUCGGUACGUAAAGCUCUAUCAGCAGGGGAGAAAAUGACGGUACCUGACUAAGAAGCCCCGGCUAACUACGUGCCAGCAGCCGCGGUAAUACGUAGGGGGCAAGGGUUAUCCGGAUUUACUGGGUGUAAAGGGAGCGUAGACGGCAGCGCAAGUCUGAUGUGAAAUCCCAUGGCUUAACCAUGGAACUGCUAUGGAAACUGUCCAUCUGGAGUUCAGGUGGGGUAAGCGGAAUUCCUAGUGUAGCGGUGAAAUGCGUAGAUAUUAGGAGGAACACCAGUGGCGAAGGCGGCUUACUAAACUGUAACUGACGUUGAGGCUCGAAAGCGUGGGGAGCAAACAGGAUUAGAUACCCGAGUAGUC
This 440-nucleotide ribosomal RNA is filed under the name uncultured bacterium. RNAcentral's name for it is "partial 16S ribosomal RNA". It matches the Rfam family "Bacterial small subunit ribosomal RNA", at positions 338 to 795 of the family's 1533-position model. The record is from RNAcentral.